Molecule: ribosomal RNA, 811 nt
Filed under: uncultured archaeon
Lineage: Archaea
Description: bacterial SSU rRNA
Rfam family: Archaeal small subunit ribosomal RNA
Source: RNAcentral
ACGGCUCAGUAACACGUAGCUAACCUACCCUUGGGACGGGUACAACCCCGGGAAACUGAGGUUAAUACCCGAUAGGUGUGGAAUCCUGGAAUGGUACCACGCCCAAAUGUAAACGCAUCCAUGUUUGCGUACACGCCCGAGGAUGGGGCUGCGGCCGAUCAGGCAGUUGGUGAGGUAACGGCUCACCAAACCUUUGACCGGUACGGGUCAUGAGAGUGGUAGCCCGGAGAUGGGCACUGAGACAAGGGCCCAGGCCCUACGGGGCGCAGCAGGCGCGAAACCUCCACAAUUCACGAAAGUGAGAUGGGGUUACCUCGAGUGCCGCCUGAAGAAGGCGGCUUUUCCAUUGUGUAAUGAGCCGUGGGAAUAAGAGGGGGGCAAGACUGGUGUCAGCCGCCGCGGUAACACCAGCCCCUCGAGUGGUGGGGAUGAUUAUUUGGCCUAAAGCGUCCGUAGCCUGCUCUGUAAAUCUUUCGUUAAAUCCAGCGUCCUAAGCGUUGGGCUGCGAGAGAGACUGCAGAGCUAGAGGGUGGGAGAGGUCAGCGGUAUUCCUGGGGUAGGGGCGAAAUCCAUUGAUCCCAGGAGGACCACCAGUGGCGAAGGCUGCUGACUAGAACACGCCUGACGGUGAGGGACGAAAGCUGGGGUAGCGAAUCGGAUUAGAUACCCGAGUAGUCCCAGCCGUAAACGAUGCAGGCUAGGUGUUGGGUUGGCCACGUGCCAGCUCAGUGCCACAGGGAAGCCAUUAAGCCUGCCGCCUGGGGAGUACGGCCGCAAGGCUGAAACUUAAAGGAAUUGGCGGGGGAGCACA